RNAcentral lists this ribosomal RNA (436 nucleotides) under Appasus japonicus. Its description in RNAcentral is "partial 16S rRNA". It matches the Rfam family "Bacterial large subunit ribosomal RNA", at positions 1819 to 2523 of the family's 2925-position model. Lineage: Eukaryota; Metazoa; Arthropoda; Insecta; Hemiptera; Belostomatidae. The record is from RNAcentral.
GUCCUUUUGAUUUUUAUAUAAGGUCUGACCUGCCCUAUGAAUAUUUAAAUGGCCGCGGUAUACUAACCGUGCAAAGGUAGCAUAGUCAUUUGUCUCUUAAUUGGAGGCUUGAAUGAAGGGUUGGACGAGAUAUAGGCUUUCUUUGUUAUAUUUUAUUGAAUUUGACUUUUGAGUUAAAAGGCUUAAAUUUUUUUAUAGGACGAGAAGACCCUAUAGAAUUUUAUAUAUUUGUAUAAUUGAUUUAUUUAUUUAUUAUUUAAUUUCUUGUUUAAAUAUAUUUUGUUGGGGCGAUGGGAAGAUUUUAAUAACUCUUUUUUGUUUUGAUCAUUGAUUUAUGUUUUAUUCUGAUCCUUUUUUAGAGAUUAUAAGAUUAAAUUACCUUAGGGAUAACAGCGUAAUUCUUUUGGAGAGUUCUUAUCGAUAAAAGAGUUUGCGA